RNAcentral lists this ribosomal RNA (231 nucleotides) under uncultured bacterium. RNAcentral describes it as "partial 16S ribosomal RNA". It matches the Rfam family "Bacterial small subunit ribosomal RNA", at positions 118 to 350 of the family's 1533-position model. The record is from RNAcentral.
UGAGCAACCUGCCCUUAGCUCUGGGAUAAACCCCGGGAAACCGGGGCUAAUACCGGAUACGAGUCCGAGCGGCAUCACACGGACUGGAAAGUUUUUCGGCUAAGGAUGGGCUCGCGGCCUAUCAGCUUGUUGGUGGGGUAAUGGCCCACCAAGGCGACGACGGGUAGCCGGCCUGAGAGGGCGACCGGCCACACUGGGACUGAGACACGGCCCAGACUCCUACGGGAGGCA